This 469-nucleotide ribosomal RNA is filed under the name uncultured Alphaproteobacteria bacterium. RNAcentral describes it as "bacterial SSU rRNA". It matches the Rfam family "Bacterial small subunit ribosomal RNA", at positions 9 to 524 of the family's 1533-position model. Lineage: Bacteria; Pseudomonadati; Pseudomonadota; Alphaproteobacteria. The record is from RNAcentral.
GAGUUUGAUCCUGGCUCAGAGCGAACAUUGGCGGUAGGCUUAACACAUGCAAGUCGAGCGAGGCGUAAUAGUCGAGCGGCGAACGGGUGAGUAAUACUUGGGAAUCUACCCUGAAGUGGGGGAUAACGUCCAGAAAUGGACGCUAAUACCGCAUAAUCCAUAUCGGGAAAGCGCGCUGCGCUUUAGGAUGAGCCCAAGCCUGAUUAGCUAGUUGGUGGGGUAAAGGCCUACCAAGGCGACGGUCCAUAGCUGGUCUGAGAGGAUGAUCAGCCACACUGGGACUGAGACACGGCCCAGACUCCUACGGGAGGCAGCAGUGGGGAAUAUUGGACAAUGGGCGCAAGCCUGAUCCAGCCAUGCCGCGUGAGUGAUGAAGGCCCUAGGGUUGUAAAGCUCUUUCAACGGUGAAGAUAAUGACGGUAGCCGUAGAAGAAGCCCCGGCUAACUUCGUGCCAGCCGCCGCCGUAAG